Molecule: ribosomal RNA, 274 nt
Filed under: uncultured bacterium
Lineage: Bacteria
Description: partial 16S ribosomal RNA
Rfam family: Bacterial small subunit ribosomal RNA
Source: RNAcentral
CUACGGAGGGUCCAAGCGUUAUCCGGAAUCAUUGGGUUUAAAGGGUCCGUAGGCGGGCAAUUAAGUCAGAGGAGAAAUCCCACAGCUCAACUGUGGAACUGCCUUUGAUACUGGUUGUCUUGAAUUAUAGUGAAGUAGAUAGAAUAUGUAGUGUAGCGGUGAAAUGCUUAGAUAUUACAUAGAAUACCGAUUGCGAAGGCAGUCUACUAACUGUAUAUUGACGCUGAUGGACGAAAGCGUGGGGAGCGAACAGGAUUAGAAACCCUAGUAGUCC